UACGGAGGUGGCAAGCGUUGCUCGGAAUCACUGGGCGUAAAGGGCGCGUAGGCGGGGAGGUAAGUCGGGUGUGAAAUCCCUCGGCCCAACCGAGGAACUGCGCCCGAGACUGCUUCUCUUGAGUCCCGGAGAGGAAGAUGGAAUUCCCGGUGUAGCGGUGAAAUGUGUAGAGAUCGGGAGGAACACCGGUGGCGAAGGCAGUCUUCUGGACGGUGACUGACGCUGAGGCGCGAAAGCGUGGGGAGCAAACGGG
Molecule: ribosomal RNA, 253 nt
Filed under: uncultured bacterium
Lineage: Bacteria
Description: partial 16S ribosomal RNA
Rfam family: Bacterial small subunit ribosomal RNA
Source: RNAcentral